RNAcentral lists this long non-coding RNA (220 nucleotides) under Coffea arabica (coffee). Its description in RNAcentral is "long non-coding RNA (CARA_LNC007753)". Lineage: Eukaryota; Viridiplantae; Streptophyta; Magnoliopsida; Gentianales; Rubiaceae. The record is from RNAcentral.
AAGCAACAAAAGGGAAAAGCUAAGGUUACCUUGGAACCUUUGUAAAGAAGAUCGAACGUGAAAGUCCUCCAAAAAAUCACGCCAAUCCUGAAACGAAGUUGAAGAGGGUUGCUGCAGAAAAUUUCAGUGCUGAUGAGAGCAGCACUUUGGGUCACGAUCUGGCCAGCUUAGAGCUGUUUUCUCUCAGAAAUUUGUGAAGGAGCAGAAACCAUAAGAUCCC